This 28-nucleotide non-coding RNA is filed under the name Mus musculus (house mouse). Lineage: Eukaryota; Metazoa; Chordata; Mammalia; Rodentia; Muridae. The record is from RNAcentral.
UAGGUGAUGAUGGCUGGGCAUUGAGUUA